GUAGGUGGCAAGCGUUGUCCGGAAUUAUUGGGCGUAAAGCGCGCGCAGGGCGGUCCUUUAAGUCUGAUGUGAAAGCCCACGGCUCAACCGUGGAGGGUCAUUGGAAACUGGGGGACUUGAGUACAGAAGAGGAAAGCGGAAUUCCAAGUGUAGCGGUGAAAUGCGUAGAGAUUUGGAGGAACACCAGUGGCGAAGGCGGCUUUCUGGUCUGUAACUGACGCUGAGGCGCGAAAGCGUGGGGAGCAAACAGGACUAGAUACCCUGGUAGUCCACGCCGUAAACGAUGAGUGCUAAGUGUUAGGGGGUUUCCGCCCCUUAGUGCUGCAGCUAACGCAUUAAGCACUCCGCCUGGGGAGUACGGCCGCAAGGCUG
Molecule: ribosomal RNA, 372 nt
Filed under: uncultured organism
Description: partial 16S ribosomal RNA
Rfam family: Bacterial small subunit ribosomal RNA
Source: RNAcentral